AGAGUUUGAUCAUGGCUCAGGAUGAACGUUGGCGGCGUGGAUUAGGCAUGCAAGUCGAGCGAGAACCCCGCAAGGGGGGACAGCGGCGCAAGGGACAGUAAUGUGUAGAUCAUCUGCCCUCAGGCCCGGGAUAGCUGCGGGAAACUGCAGGUAAUACCGGAUAACAUCUCCGGAUCAAAGGUGUGAUUCCGCCUGAGGAUGAGUCUGCAUCCUAUUAGCUAGUUGGCAGGGUAACGGCCUACCAAGGCUUUGAUGGGUAGCGGGUGUGAGAGCACGACCCGCGUCAUUGGGACUGAGACACUGCCCAGACACCUACGGGUGGCUGCAGUCGAGAAUCUUCGGCAAUGGGCGCAAGCCUGACCGAGCGACGCCGCGUGUGGGAUGAAGGCCUUCGGGUUGUAAACCACUGUCAGAGGGGAUGAAAUGCAGGUGGGUUCUCCCAUCUGUUUGACAUAGCCUCAGAGGAAGGACGGGCUAAGUUCGUGCCAGCAGCCGCGGUAAGACGAACCGUCCGAACGUUAUUCGGAAUCACUGGGCUUAAAGGGUGCGUAGGCGGCGCGGAAAGUUGGGUGUGAAAUCCCUCGGCUCAACCGAGGAACUGCGCCCAAAACUACCGUGCUCGAGGGAGAUAGAGGUGAGCGGAACUUAGGGUGGAGCGGUGAAAUGCGUUGAUAUCCUAAGGAACACCGGUGGCGAAAGCGGCUCACUGGAUCUCUUCUGACGCUGAGGCACGAAAGCUAGGGUAGCGAACGGGAUUAGAUACCCCAGUAGUCC
RNAcentral lists this ribosomal RNA (774 nucleotides) under uncultured bacterium. RNAcentral describes it as "bacterial SSU rRNA". It matches the Rfam family "Bacterial small subunit ribosomal RNA", at positions 8 to 796 of the family's 1533-position model. The record is from RNAcentral.